UACGUAGGGUGCAAGCGUUAAUCGGAAUUACUGGGCGUAAAGCGCACGUAGGCGGAUCGUUAAGUCAGGGGUGAAAUCCCAGAGCUCAACUCUGGAACUGCCUUUGAUACUGGCGAUCUCGAGUCCGGAAGAGGUGAGUGGAACUCCUAGUGUAGAGGUGGAAUUCGUAGAUAUUAGGAAGAACACCAGUGGCGAAGGCGGCUCACUGGUCCGGAACUGACGCUGAGGUGCGAAAGCGUGGGGAGCAAACAGG
This 253-nucleotide ribosomal RNA is filed under the name uncultured Hyphomicrobiales bacterium. RNAcentral describes it as "uncultured Rhizobiales bacterium partial 16S ribosomal RNA". It matches the Rfam family "Bacterial small subunit ribosomal RNA", at positions 524 to 776 of the family's 1533-position model. The record is from RNAcentral. Lineage: Bacteria; Pseudomonadati; Pseudomonadota; Alphaproteobacteria; Hyphomicrobiales.